CUAAUACCGGAUGAGCCCUACGGGGGAAAGAUUUAUCGCCAUUGGAGCGGCCCGCGUCUGAUUAGCUAGUUGGUGAGGUAAAGGCUCACCAAGGCGACGAUCAGUAGCUGGUCUGAGAGGAUGAUCAGCCACACUGGGACUGAGACACGGACCAGACUCCUACGGGAGGCAGCAGUGGGGAAUCUUGCGCAAUGGGGGAAACCCUGACGCAGCCAUGCCGCGUGAAUGAUGAAGGUCUUAGGAUUGUAAAAUUCUUUCAGACAGGGACGAUAAUGACGGUACCUGCAGAAGAAGCCCCGGUCUAACUUUCGUGCCAGCAUCCUCGUUAAUACGAAGUGGGCUUAGUGUUGCUCGGAAUUACUGGGCGUAAAGGGCGUGUAGUCGGUUUGCUUUAGUUAGAGUUGUAAAGCUCAGGGCUCUAACCCUGUGAAUUUGCCUUUAAUACUGUCAGCCUUGAUUAUGGCAGAGUUGUGUGGAACUCCGAGUGUUAUGAGGUGAAAUUCUUAGAUAUUCGGAAGUACACCAGUGGCGAAGGCGACACACUGGGCCAUUACUGACGCUGAGGCGCGAAAGCGUGGGGAGCUAACA
RNAcentral lists this ribosomal RNA (588 nucleotides) under uncultured bacterium. Its description in RNAcentral is "bacterial SSU rRNA". It matches the Rfam family "Bacterial small subunit ribosomal RNA", at positions 163 to 774 of the family's 1533-position model. The record is from RNAcentral.